AACUUGAUUUUAAAUUUAAUUUAAAUAAUUUACACUAAAUUUAAGUGGCCAUUUGUGGCUAGUGGCUACUGUAUUGAACAGCACAAAUUUUAAUCCUCAAAAGAAGUCAGAGAUUAUGUUUUUAAUGCCCUGUUGUGUUUUAGAAAUGUGGAAACAGAGUAAAGAAGAUUAAGUAAUGCGAUCAAGAUCACAUGUAGAACAUAGCUGCCUACAACAUAAAAAUAUAUACUCUUUUCUCUCUUUUCUCAGCAUUACAUCUUUUUCUCCAUUUUUCUGGAAUGAGUGAUAAUUUGACUUAUUUUAAAACCAAAUAUCAUGCAUACCAAAAGACAUAUGCUAGAAUACUUAACAACAGCCCCACACUGGAAAUUACUCAUAUAACCAAUAAGUCAAAUGAAUAAGUAAACUGUGGUUUAUUUAUACAAUAGAAUGUUAUACAAUAAUGAUAACGAUGUAUCUAUUCCUCUAUGUAAUAAUUUAGAUAAACCUUACCAUCCAUGUUGAAUUAAAGAAACCAAAGAGAAAAAGGCAUGUAAUGCAUGAUCCCACUUAUAUAAAGUACUUAGACUAAACAAAUCUACACUGUUAGAUUUGUUAUUCCUGGGGAGAGCAGUGGAGAAAUGGUGAGAGGUAGGUGGGAUAUAGUGGCGAUUUCUGAGAUAUUGUACUAUUUCUUGUUCUGGAAACUGGUUAUACUUUGCAAAAAUUCAUUCAGUCGUACACUUAGGAUACAUGCAUUAUAUUUAUUUUCUAUUGCUGCCUAACAUUACCACAAAUUUAGUGGCUUAAAACAACAUAAAUUUAUUAUCUCACAUUUUCUAUAGGGAGAACUCCAGGAUGGAUUCUUUGCUCACAGACUCACCAGGCUAACAUCAAGGUGUUUCUCUGGGUUGUCCUUCUCAUCUGGGGCUCAGGAUGGUCUUUAAAUCUCAUGGGUUGCUAUUAGAAUUAAUUGCCUUGCAAGACCGAGGCUGCUCUUUGCCUGCUAGCUGUAGACUGCUCUUAGAAUCUAGAGCCUGUCCAUAGUUCCCUGUCAUGCAGUCCCCAUAGCACUUUGCAGCAUGCAUAUUUACUUCCCAGGCCAUUCUGUAGACUGUCUCUCUCACUUCCUCUUCUUUAAUCAGCUGGAGGAAACUCUUUGCUUUUAUUUUUGUUUGUUUGUUUUAUUUUUUUUUCCACUUACAGCAUGGGGACCAAGUUACACAUACAUGUAUACAUACUUUUUCCUCCCAUUGUUGUGUUGCGAUGUAAGUAUCUAGACAUAGUUCUCAAUGCUACACAGCAGGAUCUCAUUUUAAAUCCAUUCCAAGAGCAAUAGUUUGCAUCCAUUAACCCCAAGGUCCUGAUCCCUCCCACUCCCUCCCUCUCCCCCCCGGGCAGUUGCAAGUCUGUUCUCCAUGUCUAUGAUUUUCUUUCCUGUGGAAACGUUCAUUUGUGCUGUAUAUUAGAUUCCAGUUAUAAGUGAUAUCAUAUGGUACUUGUCUUUCUCUUACUUAAUUAUUUCACUCAGUAUGAGAGUCUCUAGUUCCAUCCAUGUUACUGCAGAUGGCAUUAUUUUGUUCUUUCUUAUGGCUGAGUAGUAUUCCAUUGUGUAUAUAUACCACAUCUUCCUAAUCCAAUCAUCUGGACAUUUGAGUUGAUUCCAUGUCUUGGCUAUUGUGAACAGAGCUUCAAUGAACAUGCAGGUGCAUGUGUAUUUUUUAAGGAAAGUUUUGUCCAGAUAUAUGCCCAAGAGUGGGACUGCUGGGUCAUAUGGUAGUCCUAUGUAUAGAUUUCUAAGACUCUUUGCUUUUAAAGGGAUCAAGCCCACCUAAAUAAUCCCUAUAUCUUAAGGUCAACUGAUUAGGGAUCAUAAUUAUAUUAGCAAAAUCCCUUCUCAGCAGUACUUAGAUUAGUGUUUAAAUGAAUAUCUGGGAGAAGUUGUGUAUACAGCAGAGGCUGGGAAUCUUAGAGUUUUAACUAUGAAUUCUACUUACAGCAGGUACCUUUUUAUGUCUAGAUUAAAAAUUUUUAAUAUCUUCAAUAUCCCCUAUGAAGUACCAGGGAUGAGCUUUUCCAUCUAGAUACUACUGUCCUUCAUUUGCACUGCUUUAGAGUAAGAAUUAGCAUGAGGAAGGAGAUUGUGCUAAUGGCAUUAAAGUAGCAGUUGGUGGAAAAUGACACAGCUAAUCAUUAUUUUCAUUUUGUAUUCUCAAUUUUUUUUCCUUUUGCCAAAUAUUUAUGAGAGAGAAAAUAAACUUCCAAAUUUACCAUACUCCUAAAUAUAAAUUCAGGUAUCCUGGUCCAGAAAAUUAUCUCUGAACACAAUGUGAAAUUUAUUGCAAUGAUUGUUGACCUUGAUGUUCUUUAAAAUGCUAUGUUGGUAUAGCAGGCAUAGUUUCUUUCAUUAAAAAGAGAUAGGACUAAAGUGACUAUGGACUUGCACAGUCUAUAGGAUAGAGGGCCCUGUGUUUCAUGACAAAACACGCUCCCUUGACAUCCCCAGGCCAUGUAGGACUUGAUAGAUUGAGAAGAUCUCCAGCUCUGAGUUACUCCUGUGAAGCAACAUUCAAGCAGACAAAAUUCCAGUUCCAGAAGAAGUCUUUUUUAAGGGUGGUCAGACUGAGUUCACAGGAAUGACAUGUCAAGCUAAACCACCUUCAUUUCAUGACAGCUCAUUAGAUUAGUAGAGCAGAGAACUGUGUGUAUAUGAACAUCAGCAAAACACGUGACAUUUUCUCCUAUGAUAUUUUCAUGAAAAGCUAUAGACACAGACCCAGAUAUGAGUUCAGUUAGGCAGGAUUAUAUGUAGUUGACUACACAGAGAAGAGGCUCUUUCUUGCCUACUAUUGUCAGUCACUGCAGCCAAGUUUGGAAAAACAUGAUUAUCAAAAUUACAGAUGACACAGAAGUGGAAAGAAUAAAUUUGCUGGAUAAUGGAAUCUGUAUUCAAAAAGAUGUCAAUAGACUAGAACGAUGAGCCAGAUCUAACAAGGGGAAAUUUUAUUACCAAACAUUUAAAAGCUUUGCAUAUGUGCUCCCUAAUUAGAAUGCCCAUAGCUACCUAGUUUAAAAUACCACAUUAUUGUGCAUAAUUAAUUUGUAUAUUUGAUAUGUGAAAGGAAUAACACUAAAAAUUUUAAUUUAUAUUGUCUAACUUUCUUUACUUAACCAUACUAUUAGGGUGAAGGUAUUUUCCUUAAUUAUGCAUAAGUGGAGGUUCGGAAAAGUUAAUUUAUUUUGAGCAGGCCAGUUGGUAUAUAUACUUAAUUACUCUGGAGACCUACAAGUACAUACAUAAGUGGUUAAAGGAGCUUGUGGAGUAAGGAUUGUAAUUUUAUAGUGGAUUAUAAUUUUAGAUUUAUUAAACUCAGUAUAUGAAUAGUAAGAUGUGGCAAAAAAUAGUUAAUAUGUAAGUCUGAAUUCAUUAUCAAUGUAUUCAGAAUGCCAAAGAUGAGAAUUUAGUUUUACCUUAUCUGCUGAGACCCAGAGCUUUGGGUUCAGAUCUUAACAGCAUAAUUUUACAUGAAUAUAGACAAACUAGAGCCAAUUCAAAAAAAUCACAGUCACUUUUGUGAGAACACUCAAUAUAUG
This 3573-nucleotide long non-coding RNA is filed under the name Sus scrofa (pig). Its description in RNAcentral is "lncRNA (ENSSSCG00000057838.1)". The record is from RNAcentral. Lineage: Eukaryota; Metazoa; Chordata; Mammalia; Artiodactyla; Suidae.